GACGAACGCUGGCGGCGUGCUUAACACAUACAAGUCGAACGGAAAGGCCCUGCUUUUGUGGGGUGCUCGAGUGGCGAACGGGUGAGUAACACGUGAGUAACCUGCCCUUGACUUUGGGAUAACUUCAGGAAACUGGGGCUAAUACCGGAUAGGAGCUCCUGCUGCAUGGUGGGGGUUGGAAAGUUUCGGCGGUUGGGGAUGGACUCGGGGCUUAUCAGCUUGUUGGUGGGGUAGUGGCUUACCAAGGCUUUGACGGGUAGCCGGCCUGAGAGGGUGACCGGCCACAUUGGGACUGAGAUACGGCACAGACUCCUACGGGAGGCAGCAGUGUGGAAUAUUGCACGAUGGGCGGAAGCCUGAUGCAGCAACGCCGCGUGCGGGAUGACGGCCUUCGGGUUGUAAGCCGCUUUCGCCUGUGACGAAGCGUGAGUGACGGUAAUGGGUAAAGAAGCCCCGGCUAACUACGUG
This 468-nucleotide ribosomal RNA is filed under the name uncultured bacterium. RNAcentral describes it as "partial 16S ribosomal RNA". It matches the Rfam family "Bacterial small subunit ribosomal RNA", at positions 28 to 507 of the family's 1533-position model. The record is from RNAcentral.